UCGACUGUACUUACAAGGAUCUUGUAUACAGUAUAUAUCUUUGCCUUUGUUUCCGAACAAAGUCAUGUCAACCUGACUGGAAGAUGAAUUAUACUGCACUGUCCGUAAAGGGAAGUGUGAGUCUAUUUCUUGGUCGGUUUCUCAUGGAAUCCACAAGCCAGAUUUAUUCUCGUUGAUGAUCUUGCGACUCUCUUUUGGGUUGCGAGGACGGAUGCAGAUUCUGACAGUCU
Small nucleolar RNA from Smittium mucronatum, 230 nucleotides. It matches the Rfam family "ACEA small nucleolar RNA U3". Rfam says of the family: Small nucleolar RNAs (snoRNAs) are involved in the processing and modification of rRNA in the nucleolus. There are two main classes of snoRNAs: the box C/D class, and the box H/ACA class. Lineage: Eukaryota; Fungi; Kickxellomycota; Harpellomycetes; Harpellales; Legeriomycetaceae. The record is from Rfam.